GACGAACGCUGGCGGCGUGCUUAACACAUGCAAGUCGAACGGAAAGGCCCUGCUUUUGUGGGGUGCUCGAGUGGCGAACGGGUGAGUAACACGUGAGUAACCUGCCCUUGACUUUGGGAUAACUUCAGGAAACUGGGGCUAAUACCGGAUAGGAGCUCCUGCUGCAUGGUGGGGGUUGGAAAGUUUCGGCGGUUGGGGAUGGACUCGCGGCUUAUCAGCUUGUUGGUGGGGUAGUGGCUUACCAAGGCUUUGACGGGUAGCCGGCCUGAGAGGGUGACCGGCCACAUUGGGACUGAGAUGCGGCCGAGACUCCUACGGGAGGGAGUAGUGGGGAAUGUUGCACAAUGCGCGGAAGCCUGAUGCAGCAGCGCCGCGUGUGGGAUGACGGCCUUCGGGUUGUACACCGCUUUCGCCUGUGACGAAGCGUGAGGGACGGUAAUUGGUAAAGAAGCACAGGCUAACUACGU
RNAcentral lists this ribosomal RNA (467 nucleotides) under uncultured bacterium. Its description in RNAcentral is "partial 16S ribosomal RNA". It matches the Rfam family "Bacterial small subunit ribosomal RNA", at positions 28 to 506 of the family's 1533-position model. The record is from RNAcentral.